GAUGGUACUUGUGGUGUAGUAGGUAGGAGUUGGUGACAAAGUGCUGUUGGUGAUAUUAGUCGCAGGUGGUAGGGAUCAGACGCGUUUCGGUCCGCCUAGGACCUUCCUCAGUGAUCUAACCCCGCUGUCACCACCAUCACGGCCAGGAGACGUAAGGACUGCCACAUCCAAGGGGAUGACUCCGGAUAUUACCAACAGUAACGGAUCCCCAAGCUAAGUGGGGUACUCCGAUGGCCAAUGGGUUUUUUCAGUUUCUUCUUACCCUUGCAGGUGAAGAUACAGUCUGCUGCCACUCUUCAAAAGAUUUGGAAAUCAAACACAUUUUGGAUUGGUAGAAGUAAGAACCAUCCAAUGUCCAGCAGUGUAUAUUCUUUAUAUAGCAAUUAUCUGGUCCUGGUAGGGAUGUGAAUAAGCCUUCCAAUCAUGAAUGCCCUGCUGCUCAGGGGGUGGUUGUGUUAAGGUAAAGUGCGCCUAAGAAAUGUUCAUAAUGCAGCUACAAAUCCGGCUCUGCUACAUGUGCAGUUGACAUUAGUAAAGCCAUAACCAGACUAGUGUCUUAAUGGGUCCACCGGUCUGCAAAUAAAUCUGAGUACAAAUACACCUGUUUUGUGAAUACCUCAGAGUUUGUUAUAGAACAUUACUAAACAAACAGCAGCAUGAAGACCAAGGAGCUCACCAAAUCAGGUUUGGUCAGAACCAGAACUUUCUGCCCAAGUUCAGCGAACCGGCAGAAGCAAACAUUUGAAAAUUUCCCUCAUCUCUAGUAGAGGCUCAUAGCAGGCAUUGUAAUGGACUGAGGCAAAUUUCAGAGGGUAGAAUGAAGGACAGAAUUUGGGGUCAUCAGUGGCUGGCCACCUCAUACCAUAAUUUAGGAAAUGUAUGACCGAUUGCCGGUAUCCACAAGCUUCAGGACAGGACAAGGGUUAAAGAAAGAAGAUGAGGAAAACUGUUUCUAUCUCUUGGUACAUGGUAAUAACCGUCGUCUGCCGGGCUGCAUGCAUUCUAUUUUUCCUUAGCUGAGUACUUUCUGUAAAGUUUAAACCAACGGAUUUUCUGAUUUCUAGAGUGUAUCUAAGCUUGUUUCAU
This is a long non-coding RNA of Hyla sarda, 1086 nucleotides long. RefSeq lists it as uncharacterized. The transcript is spliced from 7 exons. The record is from RefSeq and is a predicted model, not a curated record. NCBI's taxonomy places the organism in Eukaryota, Metazoa, Chordata, Amphibia, Anura, Hylidae.